GAGAGAAGAGGAGAGGGAAAGACACAGUUACCGAUGCAACGGAACAAAACCACUGGGAAAUGCAAGGCGCAUUAAUUAAGUGCAGCAAUGAGAUAACCUGGCUUUGAAGGGACAAUCUUGGGUUGGGCGGGGAAGGCAAUUGGAGGCUUCAUUUGCUUCUGAAUCGACGGUUGGCAAUUGGUAAGUAAUGGAGAAUCGAGAACGGCGGUGGUUCAAUAGACAAUUUGUUGGAUAAAUCAAGAAAGCAGGCUGUGGCCUUCUCACCGGUGAACCGAG
This 276-nucleotide unclassified non-coding RNA is filed under the name Hevea brasiliensis (rubber tree). The record is from RNAcentral. Lineage: Eukaryota; Viridiplantae; Streptophyta; Magnoliopsida; Malpighiales; Euphorbiaceae.